Non-coding RNA from Arachis ipaensis, 656 nucleotides. The record is from RefSeq and is a predicted model, not a curated record. Lineage: Eukaryota; Viridiplantae; Streptophyta; Magnoliopsida; Fabales; Fabaceae.
CGUCUCCCUCCGCUAUUGAAGCAGUAAGGUUCGCAUCUGGUAAGGCCUUGGAUUCAUUCAAGGAGUGCCGUAGGCUUAUGUGCAUCGGGAUUGGGGAGGUAAGUUCCAUUAGGAGGGAGUGUAGUUGCUGUUAGUGUUUUCUUUUUAAAUCGUAUUUGUCUUUUGGGUGUGAUUCCGGGUCGGGUCGGUCUUCGGCGACCCUGCCGAAUGCCUCAAUAAAAAAAAAACUGUGUUUUCCAAAGAAUAUGAUUGUUGGAGCAAUAGUAGAUGAGCUUACAAAGAGGAGGGAGGGGGUUUACCGACGUGGUGGCUUUUGGGGUUUUCCAUUUCUGUGUUUGUGUCCUUUGAAUGGGUUCAUCGAGUGGAUGUAGUCAGGUAUUGAACGGUUCCUGGCGUGGCGGGUGCAGUACUGGGCAGACGAAGUUGGUGGGAUAAAUACUCAGUGCCACUAAGUGCGUUGCAUUUAAAGCAAUAGAGAGGAUGGGGUCCUGUAGCGGUGUUGUAGAGGGAACGUGCCAGUGGAAUGUGAGGAGCAGGGAUGAUUGGGUUCAACGCAGCGGUGUAGGUUUAGAUGAGCAGGUUUAACAUUAAAUUUUGACGUGUUUGUAACAUUUGGUGAAUGUGGUUAGUCUUUUCAGGUGUUGUAAACCAUACGA